RNAcentral lists this transfer RNA (71 nucleotides) under Mediterraneibacter torques. It matches the Rfam family "tRNA". From Rfam's summary of the family: Transfer RNA (tRNA) molecules are approximately 80 nucleotides in length. Their secondary structure includes four short double-helical elements and three loops (D, anti-codon, and T loops). Further hydrogen bonds mediate the characteristic L-shaped molecular structure. tRNAs have two regions of fundamental functional importance: the anti-codon, which is responsible for specific mRNA codon recognition, and the 3' end, to which the tRNAs corresponding amino acid is attached (by aminoacyl-tRNA synthetases). tRNAs cope with the degeneracy of the genetic code in two manners: having more than one tRNA (with a specific anti-codon) for a particular amino acid; and 'wobble' base-pairing, i.e. permitting non-standard base-pairing at the 3rd anti-codon position. RNAcentral also lists the same sequence under 8 other names. Lineage: Bacteria; Bacillati; Bacillota; Clostridia; Lachnospirales; Lachnospiraceae. The record is from RNAcentral.
GGGGAUUAGCUCAGUUGGGAGAGCGCCUGCCUUGCAAGCAGGAGGUCACGAGUUCGACUCUCGUAUUCUCC